UAGGGAAUCUUCCACAAUGGACGAAAGUCUGAUGGAGCAACGCCGCGUGAGUGAAGAAGGGUUUCGGCUCGUAAAAGCUCUGUUGGUAGUGAAAGAAAGAUAGGAGGUAAGUAACGUGG
Molecule: ribosomal RNA, 119 nt
Filed under: uncultured bacterium
Lineage: Bacteria
Description: partial 16S ribosomal RNA
Rfam family: Bacterial small subunit ribosomal RNA
Source: RNAcentral